Molecule: long non-coding RNA, 327 nt
Filed under: Aotus nancymaae (Ma's night monkey)
Lineage: Eukaryota; Metazoa; Chordata; Mammalia; Primates; Aotidae
Description: lncRNA (ENSANAG00000038948.1)
Source: RNAcentral
CUCAAAUGUUCUGGAAAGUUUUUUUUGUCCUUUCUUUUAAGAGACUGGGUUUCACUAUGCUGUCCAGCUGGUCUCUGAACUCCUGGGCUCAAAGCAUCCUCCUACCUCAGCUACUCGGGUAGCUGGGUUUAUAGGUAUGAGCCCCCUCACCUGGCGUCCUAUUUUUCACUGCCUCUUGACAAAGCAACCAAGUUCGACACAGUAUUUAUAAGGGAAAAGGAGUCAUUCAUGCUCUUUCUGCCUGAAGGCAAGAGCAACUCCACCCUACCAGCAGGUGCAGCAGCAACGGCCUUUACUAGUGUCUCCACGCCUGCCUCCAGCAUCUAG